CAAUGGUGGAUACAAGUGACAAAGUUCAAGAAACUGGUGAGAUGAUUGGGCAAAAUCAAACCCCAGAAAGGGUUACAUCAGAGACUAACCAAAAAACUUGUGUUGAUUGUGGAACUACAAAAACUCCUCUGUGGAGAGGUGGACCUGCUGGACCUAAGUCAUUGUGUAAUGCAUGUGGAAUAAGGAGCAGGAAGAAGAGAAGAGCUCUUUUGGGAUUGAACAAAGACGACAAGAAAUCAAAGAAAUCUUCGUCUAAGAGCGUUGUUAAUCAUCAUCAACAGAACCAGAGUAGCAAUAGCAGUAGCAGUACAAGCAGCAGUGGAGAAAGUAUGAGUAAUGUAAUAGUGAAGAACGAAUGCAUUCCAUAUAAGAAACGAUUGCUGCAUUUUGAUCGAGAAGUUGGUUUGCAAAGACCAAGAUCAAACUCUACACACAGAAGGAAGUUAGGUGAAGAAGAACAAGCAGCAUUCUUGUUGAUGGCUCUUUCAUGUGGUUCUGUUUAUGCUUAGCAGAGGAAGAUAAUGUUGUACCUUUUUUUGGGUUGGUAGAGUAAG
RNAcentral lists this unclassified non-coding RNA (554 nucleotides) under Hevea brasiliensis (rubber tree). Lineage: Eukaryota; Viridiplantae; Streptophyta; Magnoliopsida; Malpighiales; Euphorbiaceae. The record is from RNAcentral.